ACCACUGAUUUUUAGUGACAGUCGAUAUGCAUGGGCUACUGGCGAUGAGAGUUUCCCCCCUCCCCUCUCCUCUCACAGCCACCACGCCCAUUUAAGUUGCAUUUUUCAAAAAGAUUGUGAGCUAGACUUGAGCUGAAAGAGGGGGGUUUCAUGACCCUUUAACAUUAAUGUUAUGGAAUAACAUACUGAACACUACAUCAAAGUUGGUGUCAUUUGAUAAACUAUGGGGAAAGAGCACCAAUUUAAUGUUUAUUUCAUGACUGAUGUCAGUCCACAAAGCAUUUUUAUCCUUAUUUAGAGUGAACUUGGAGGGUGUAGUCAGUGUUACUUCAUAACAUGCUCAUCAAAUACGCAUUUACAAUGUGUUGAAAUGGAAAGUAUCUUCUGCUUUUGUGAGUGACUGCUCUGUUGUGUGGAGAAAAAAAAUUAAAUAAACCCAGUGCCAAUGAGAAGGAUCCUUCUGGUCAGGUUAAUAUCACAGACGUGGAUUAUGUCAACACUGCCAGAAACAUCACGAUCAAUGAACAGAUUUCUGAUGAUGAAACACUGAUCAUCUACUACGAAAACACUGACAUCCCAAAGCAGAAGAACUGCUGCAUCACAGAGACACACUUCAAACAUGAUGAAUACACAGAAAUAGAGUACAGAGUAUUUCAGGUUUUGUAGGCUCACUUAAGGCCAAUUCACACUGCACCGACAGACGCAGUUACCCCUGUUGGCAUCUGUCGGGUCAUGGAAUGUUUGAAGUGAUAUACUAUAAUCUGCUGAUUAUCCGUGCUGGACGCUGUCUGUCAGUGCAGUUUGAAUUGACCUACAGUGGGUAUAAAAAGUCAACACACCCCUGUUUAAAUUGCAGAUUUUUUUCCUUUUUUGAUUUUUGAACAAAUUAAUCCAAGUAAUAAAUGUAAGAUUUUCUUCAAAGAAACUCUUAAGAAAAAUGUUUAAGGAAAAAAUGAACCUAAAUUUACUUGGAUGCAUUAAUGUGCACACUGUUUGCAAUUAACCAAAUACAUUCAAACUCUCACUAAAAAGUCUUCAUUUGAAUGAUGCUGAUUAACCCUUAAUAAAAAUCAACUCUUUCUGGAUUCUGUACAAUUUUCUUGGCCUUAUUGCUGAAGCCAUAGCCCACAUUGAGCUUACAAAGGAUGUGCAGGAUCUCAUUGUGAAGAGGUACGAAUCAGGAGAAGGGUACAAAAUGUACCAUGGUAUACAAUGAAGGCCAUCAUCAACAAGUGGAGACAAUGGGGCACCACAAUGACAUUCUGAAGAACAGGGAAGCUGUCGAAAAAUGGAUGUAAAAACAAGAUGAAAAGUUAUCAAGGAGGCUGCCAAGAGACUUAUAGUAACAUUAAAGGACCUUCAGGACUAUCUGACAAGUACUGGUCUAUUGCCUCAUGUGACAACAAUAUCCGGACGGAAGCCAUUAAUCACAUACUUUUAGGCCAUAAUUUGAAAAAAAUAGAUUUGGCACAAAACUGACAAGACUGCUUAUCGCCCAAACGACACCAUAUGCACAUCAGUGCUGUAACUGAAUAUAUGUAAUUUAUAAAACAGUUAGUUCCUGUCCUUGAUUUCGAUUGGUCAAUAGCUGUGUUUUAUUCACGAUAAUACACGGCUAUGACCGCUUCACCCAAUGGGUCUGUGUAUCACAAAACCCU
Molecule: long non-coding RNA, 1658 nt
Organism: Megalobrama amblycephala (Wuchang bream)
Lineage: Eukaryota; Metazoa; Chordata; Actinopteri; Cypriniformes; Xenocyprididae
Exons: 3
Source: RefSeq, a predicted model, not a curated record